AUAAUUGUGUGGCGCUAACCCAUACAGAGCUGUGUUCGCCCUCAUUGUAAACAGAAGCACAGCAGCUAACGCUUUGAAGAAGGAAUGGAAACGCUGCUGCUACUGAGGGAGUUGGUCUUUCUCUGGCCAGACAGGUCGUGAAGCACAGACCACAGUCUCCAGCAGGAACCUAUCAGCAGGGGGGAAGAGGGAGGGACCUGAGCCCUAGGACCAUGCCCCAGGACUACCUGGCAUGAUGACUCCUUGCUGUCCCCAGUCCACCUGGCUGUGCUGCUGCUCCAGUUUCAACUGUUCUGCCUGCGGCUAUGGAACCCUGACCUCUUUACCAGACGUGCUACCUGUCCCAGACCUGCUGUUUUCCACUCUCUAGACACAGCAGGAGCGGUAGAGAUACUCUCAAUGAUCGGCUAUGAAAAGCCAACUGACAUUUACUCCUGAGAUGCUGACCUGUUGCACCCUCGACAACUACUGUGAUUAUUAUUAUUUGACCAUGCUGGUCAUUUAUGAACAUUUGAACAUCUUGGCCAUGUUCUGUUAUAAUCUCCACCCAGCACAGCCAGAAGAGGACUGGCUACCCCUCAUAGCCUGGUUCCUCUCUAGGUUUCUUCCUAGGUUCUGGCCUUUCUAGGGAGUUUUUCCUAGCCACCGUGCUUCUACACCUGCAUUUCUUACUGUUUGGGAUUUUAGGCUGGGUUUCUGUACAUGACUUUGAUAUAUCAGCUGAUGUACGAAGGGCUUUAUAAAUACAUUUGAUUUGAUGAUAACACUGACUUGAUGAAGACACACCAGCAAUUGCCCACCAUAGUCCUAUAUUAAUUUUGGCAGGUAUAAUCAUCAUUAUACUUAAUGUAAAAAGAACUAAUUCAUCUUCUAGAGACACACAAAGGGUUGUUAUGUGGAACAUCCCCUGGAUUCCUGUAAAAACAUACCCAUCCUUUCUUCCUCCCUCCUUCUAUGAUGUCAGUACAACAGAGACACAAGCCAGCCAUAACUCUGAUGAUCCAUUGUAUUCACAAUGGGACUCUGGGUGAAAUGUAAUGAAACCUGCCAUAGCUAAUAUAUAUGUAUGCAGUAUCUUAGUCAGUACAACUGCUGCCUGCCAGAAAUCACAUCCUAUCAUGACAACGAUAAGUACUGUGUAUACUACCAUAAGUUCCAUGUUAGAGUAUACAGUACAUACAGGUUUGAUUGAUCUGAGCCCAUGCAGUCUCUGCACUAGCACUUUGACAAGCAGUUGACAAGCUUUCUGUUAAAGGAAAGAUCGGAGUGUCUAUUUUUGGACUUCUAAAUAAAUGGCAUACCCAUUGAUUCUUGAUGUCUCACAAGCUUGGUAAAACUGUCGGAGCCAAAAUAUACUCCAUUCUUUGAAAUAUAUGUAAUUGUAAACACAUAUUUUAUAGCCUCAAAACAUGGCUAAAACUAUAGUUGUGAUGUCAUGGACGAUCAGUUCUUGCAUACUUAGCUCUGUCUAUGAAUUUGAGAGUGGUUCCAUUUCUUCAGCCCCAUCCCUCAGCCAUUUACCAAAUCAGUGACCGGGUGACCCCUUAGGCUUUGUUUAAAUAGCACAUUACCACCUUACAGUAAAUGUAUUGGUUUUGUACAAGAUGGGGCCUCAUUCCUAUACUGUAUGACUGGUUGCCUAUAUAUGGUCUAGUUAGUUGGCACCAUGCUGUGUCGGUGAGACUCAGUGGCAGUCAGUGGCAGUGAGUGGGUAAAAUCAGCGGGGAAGCCUGAAGAAAAUGCCAUAUUACAACCUGUUACUAAAGGCAGAGACAAUAAGAAGACACAGUGGCAGAAUAAAUUCAACCACACCUUUGUUUCAUCACAAAACCAGAGAGCAACAUCUGUCCGGUGAAGUCCACAAAGCAUAAUGCAUGUAACAAACAGUAACAUGACCUACAGCAUGGUCAAGCAAGGUAAUGUUUCCAUCAUUUUCAGACAGCUAAACAACUAUUUAUUUAGAACCACAGAGAGUUACCGCAAGUCGUAAAGAAAACAGGAGCUGCCUCCACUAUUCCAGCACCAUUUCAACUUCAAUAUUUCAGCAUCAUAAAAUGACCUCUGCUUAGUCUAAUAGAGUGACAACUAAAAUAUAUAAAAAACAAUUUAGUCCAAUCAACGUAAGUUAAAUAUGAUGUGGCUGUCCAUGUUUCUGAUUUGUGUGUGUGUGUGUGUCUGUGUGUG
This is a long non-coding RNA of Oncorhynchus tshawytscha (Chinook salmon), 2184 nucleotides long. NCBI's taxonomy places the organism in Eukaryota, Metazoa, Chordata, Actinopteri, Salmoniformes, Salmonidae. The record is from Ensembl.